UACCAGCUCUCCGAGUGGUAGGGAUGAUUAUUGGGCUUAAAGCGUCCGUAGCCGGCUUAGCAAGUUUCCUGUUAAAUUCAGCGACCUAAUCGUUGAGCCGCGGGAAAUACUACUAGGCUAGGAGGCGGGAGAGGUCGACGGUACUUCUGGGGUAGGGGUGAAAUCCUAUAAUCCCGGGAGGACCACCAGUGGCGAAGGCUGUCGACUAGAACGCGCUCGACGGUGAGGGACGAAAGCUGGGGGAGCGAACCGGAUUAGAUACCCGGGUAGCCCCAGCUGUAAACGAUGCGGGCUAGGUGUUGGGGUGGCUACGUGCCACUUCAGUGCCGCAGGGAAGCCAUUAGCCCGCCGCCUGGGGAGUACGGCCGCAAGGCUAGAAACUUAAGGAUUGGCGGGAAAGCACCACAAGGCGUGAAGCUUGCGGUUC
RNAcentral lists this ribosomal RNA (427 nucleotides) under uncultured archaeon. RNAcentral describes it as "bacterial SSU rRNA". It matches the Rfam family "Archaeal small subunit ribosomal RNA", at positions 474 to 903 of the family's 1478-position model. The record is from RNAcentral.